RNAcentral lists this transfer RNA (75 nucleotides) under Desmophyllum pertusum. RNAcentral describes it as "tRNA-Thr". The stretch from base 3 to 69 matches the Rfam family "tRNA". From Rfam's summary of the family: Transfer RNA (tRNA) molecules are approximately 80 nucleotides in length. Their secondary structure includes four short double-helical elements and three loops (D, anti-codon, and T loops). The record is from RNAcentral. Lineage: Eukaryota; Metazoa; Cnidaria; Anthozoa; Scleractinia; Caryophylliidae.
UACUCCGUAGCUCAGUGGUUAGAGCUUCCGACUGGUGUACAGAAGGUCAUGGGUUUGAUUCCGUCGGGGACUCAG